RNAcentral lists this ribosomal RNA (494 nucleotides) under uncultured bacterium. RNAcentral's name for it is "partial 16S ribosomal RNA". It matches the Rfam family "Bacterial small subunit ribosomal RNA", at positions 28 to 507 of the family's 1533-position model. The record is from RNAcentral.
GACGAACGCUGGCGGCGUGCUUAACACAUGCAAGUCGAACGGUGAAGCGCCUUCCUUUUUGGUGGGUGUGGAUGAGUGGCGAACGGGUGAGUAACACGUGAGUAACCUGCCCCCUUCUUCUGGAUAACCGCAUGAAAGUGUGGCUAAUACGGGAUAUUCUGGGUCUGUCGCAUGAUGGGUCUGGGAAAGAUAUUGUUUCGGUGGGGGAUGGGCUCGCGGCCUAUCAGCUUGUUGGUGGGGUGAAGGCCUACCAAGGCGGUGACGGGUAGCCGGCCUGAGAGGGUGGACGGUCACACUGGGACUGAGACACGGCCCAGACUCAUACGGGAGGCAGCAGUGGGGAAUAUUGCACAAUGGGCGAAAGCCUGAUGCAGCGACGCCGCGUGAGGGAUGGAGGCCUUCGGGUUGUGAACCUCUUUCGCCAGUGAAGCAGGCCUGCCUCGUUUGUGGGUGGGUUGACGGUAGCUGGAUAAGAAGCGCCGGCUAACUACGUG